Molecule: ribosomal RNA, 654 nt
Filed under: uncultured archaeon
Lineage: Archaea
Description: bacterial SSU rRNA
Rfam family: Archaeal small subunit ribosomal RNA
Source: RNAcentral
GCCUAAAGCGUCCGUAGCCGGCUCUGUAAGUUUUCGGUUAAAUCCAUAUGCUCAACAUAUGGGCUGCCGGGAAUACUGCAUAGCUAGGGAGUGGGAGAGGUAGACGGUACUCCGUAGGAAGGGGUAAAAUCCUUUGAUCUAUGGAUGACCACCUGUGGCGAAGGCGGUCUACCAGAGCACGUUCGACGGUGAGGGAUGAAAGCUGGGGGAGCAAACCGGAUUAGAUACCCGGGUAGUCCCAGCUGUAAACUAUGCAAACUCAGUGAUGCAUUGGCUUGUGGCCAGUGCAGUGCCGCAGAGAAGUCGUUAAGUUUGCCGCCUGGGAAGUACGUACGCAAGUAUGAAACUUAAAGGAAUUGGCGGGGGAGCACCACAAGGGGUGAAGCCUGCGGUUCAAUUGGAGUCAACGCCAGAAAUCUUACCCGGAGAGACAGCAGGAUGAAGGUCAAGUUGAAGCCUUUACCAGACAAGCUGAGAAGUGGUGCAUGGCCGUCGCCAGCUCGUGCCGUGAGGUGUCCUGUUAAGUCAGGUAACGAGCGAGAUCCUUGCCUCUAGUUGCCACCAUUACUCUCAGGAGUAGUGGGGUGAAUUAGCGGGACUGCCGUAGUUAAUACGGAGGAAGGAGAGGGCCACGGCAGGUCAGUAUGCCCCGAA